GAUGAACGCUAGCAGAACGCCUAACACAUGCAAGUCGAACGAACCAGCAAUGGUUAGUGGCAAACGGGCGAGUAACGCGUAUCUAACCUACCCUUGAGUGAGGCACAACUACAGAGAUGUAGCUAAUUCCUCAUACGUUCUAGAGAAUGAAAAUAUCUAGAAGAAAGAUUUAUCGCUCAGGGGAGGGGGUGCGUCCUAUCAGGUAGUUGGUGAGGUAAUAGCUCACCAAGCCUAUGACGGGUAGCCGGUCUGAGAGGAUGUCCGGCCGCAAUGGAACUGAGAACGGUCCAUACUCCUACGGGAGGCAGCAGUGGGGAAUAUUGGACAAUGGGCGGAAAGACCUGAUCCAGCGAUUCUGCGUGAAGGAUGAAGCCUUAUGGGGUGUAAACUUCUUUCUGGGGGAAGACGAAUGACGGUACCUCAGGAAUAAGAGACGGCUAACUACGUGCCAGCAGCCGCGGUAAAGUACAGUGU
Molecule: ribosomal RNA, 474 nt
Filed under: uncultured bacterium
Lineage: Bacteria
Description: bacterial SSU rRNA
Rfam family: Bacterial small subunit ribosomal RNA
Source: RNAcentral